Molecule: long non-coding RNA, 231 nt
Filed under: Lathyrus oleraceus (garden pea)
Lineage: Eukaryota; Viridiplantae; Streptophyta; Magnoliopsida; Fabales; Fabaceae
Description: Pisum sativum (pea) long non-coding RNA (PSAT_LNC031529)
Source: RNAcentral
CAUUAUUAUCUUUUAAUUUACUUUUAUGUCAUUACCUUGUAAUUUAUAUUCAAGUACUCAUCACCAUCAUCAUUGUACAAACUCAUCAUGCAUGUUUAUUUACUUGUUAAUUAUUUUAUUAUCUAGAAACAUUAAAAACAACAAAAACAUGAUAAAAUGAUAAGACAAAGAAUAUCCACUCCACUCAUUAAUCACUUGGACUUAGAGGAUUUCAUUUAGGACCUUUGCUUG